Molecule: non-coding RNA, 441 nt
Organism: Macaca mulatta (Rhesus monkey)
Lineage: Eukaryota; Metazoa; Chordata; Mammalia; Primates; Cercopithecidae
Source: RefSeq, a predicted model, not a curated record
AUACCCACACCUGCUUUCUACACCGAGUGUUUAUACCCACGUGCACACCGUUCUCACCUCCUCCGUGAGACAGCAAGUACCGUGACCCCCUGGCACCCCACCUCACACACUUGACAGAAAUUCUCAGGACAAAAUGUUGAACCAAACCAGGCACCCUCUGGGAUCCUCCCCCACCAGGAGAUUGCCUCAAGAGGACGGUCAGUUUACAGCCUAGCUCUGUCCACCAUGGCGCCCUCCAGACUACCUGGCUGAGAAGACAUACAAGCAAGUCAGGUGGACCCUGCACCUCCUCACCCCCCCUCCCCUGCAUGCCUUUCACACCAAGUUCCCCUUUAAAGAUCCCACUUUCCUCCCCGAAAGCUGAAGCGAUUCCCUUAAAUCAGGAGCCUGUACUGUUUCCCCUUCACCAAGCUCUGCAAUAAAGUCACUUUCUUCCUACCA